Gasterosteus aculeatus aculeatus (three-spined stickleback) is the source of this 25875-nucleotide long non-coding RNA. The record is from Ensembl. Lineage: Eukaryota; Metazoa; Chordata; Actinopteri; Perciformes; Gasterosteidae.
GAGACGAUCCUUACAACACUUCUAUUUGUCCUUUAAAUAUGAAGCUGCAGACAGGAGAGGGUGAGCUUAACUUAAAGAUGGGAAAUAAGUACUGACAGCCAGCAUGUGCCCUAACCUUCAGCUUUCUUAAACACAGCCAUUUUUCGUCUUCCUUCCUAUAGAUUUAAAGGAAUUCACAUCACAUUGAAAGCUAAGACAACACCUGAUAAUACGUUGUUCAUUGUUAAUUCUCACUUUGUAGGAAAUCCUCCUUCCUGCCCCGUCCUGGGGGACUUAGGUGUGACCAGGUGUGACCUCUUAGGUCUUUCUGAUGAUAAAUCUCUCCCUUUGUUUCCUGCAGUAAGUUGGAUUCCUGGUGAUACUUGCUAUCCUCCAGAUGAGCUGCACUCUAGAUGCGUUAUUAGAGUAAGUGAUGGAAAUUUAUCAUUGUUACGUCUGUUUCUUUGUAUUCCGGCACCGUUUUAUUGAUGCAGAGAUUUUUCUUAAUGGACAUAAAGUCAUGUUUCUACACGUUGUUAUUUUGUGAUCUAACAUCCAUCUGAACCUUUCUACAAAAUAGUUUACAAUGCCUUUUGUUCACAGAUAUAUAAUACGGUAGUGGGAUGCAGGGCUUGUUUGCGCUGACCCUGAAACCCCGGGUUUGAAAUCAGCAGCUAGUCAUUAGCUGGAAAGAACACAAAGAUUUCAGGGAACACGGUAGAAGUUUGAUCUCAAUCUCAAAUCAAUGCGGGUAUCGGCUAUGGAGAGAGACGGUGAGAAAUAAUUGGGUGGAAUGCCGGGGGGUUUGAAGAUUACUGUAUGCACCCCACCUCUACUGUACUCCACUUGUGUCUGCAUGCAUUAUUAACUCACACACACACACACACACACACACACACACACACACACACACACACACACACACACACACACACACACACACAAAUACAUCUACACCGUCCUUUGAGAGUCAGGUGUUAUUAGCUGUGUUCAUUGUUGCAGGCGGGCUUGGGUCAUACCACUUACAGACUCAAACGUGUGGAAGCCAGUGAACGGGGGGGGGGCUGAUCGUCACAGUGGGAGGUCAGAUGUGAGACAGUAUUGUGUGUGUUUGGAAAUAUAGAUUCUGUACAUGAGUGCACAUUAGCUUAAUUUAGUGUAAUAAUGGUGAUUUCUUAAGUGUUCAUAUUUGGAGGGGAAAUGUUGGGUUUUAAAAAUAUUCCAAAAUAGGUUAAAUAAUUAUGAAAACAAGAUUGGAAAAUUGCAGGAAAGUGUGUCCUCCAAGAAACAAUAAUCUGCUGCGAAAAUGCUUUGGAUGUAAAUAAUCAGUGUAAAUCUUGCCGUGGUUGGAUGAAGUGUGUCUUGGUGUAUUACUGCUGUAAAACUCAAGUGAGAGCCUAAUAUAGUUGUAGGAAAUUCAUUCAUUAAGGCGAUUAUAGAUUGUUAAAUAAAGAAAAAGCAUUUUGCCUUUAUAUUAAAACAAGUAUUGCCAAACAACUGAAAGGUAAACACAAACAAAUAUGUUGCCAUUAGUUGAACCUGUUUUGUUUGGAAAGCUAUGGAAAAAGCCAUGGACAGACAAAAAGAAAAGGAUGUAGAUCAGCCACUCACCUAACAGGAGUAAAGAUGCUAACGGAUUAGCUAAAGACCCCAAGUGGGUACAUUUUUAAGUAGGGAAAAUGUUGUUUGCGUGUGACAUUUCACCGGAAAUCGGGAAUCGAUGCUGUAAAUCAGGGGCGAUAUACUUAUGAAGUCAAAUCUAGGCCAAAAGUUAUCAUCAUUUGAAAAAGAUCAUUGAAAGUCAAAGUUUCAGUCUUGAGAAUUGAAAAAUACCAAACAUUAAGAUUUUUUUUUUAAAAAGAAUAAAAAGUAUUUUUUGGAAUGAAAUAUCAAUUUUAAUUCUUUGCAUAUGUAUUUUUUUAUAUUUGAGGUCUUGAAUUUGUUCAGUUGUAGAUUAUAUAUUUUCAGAUUGAAAUCUUAUUUUUUUCCCUUUUAAAUUUCACUUUCAGAUUGUAAGGUUUUAGUUUACUCAGUUUUCUUUUUCAAUGAAUCAAAACCUUUGGCCUGGAUUUGACUCUUUACGAUACACUAUUCCAGUGACCUCAUGGUCAAAGAUCUUCCUAUAAUGGUAUUAAGUACUCCUGUCUGUCAGCAAUUAUUCAAAUGAAAGUACCUGUACUUUAUAUGAUGUUGGAACCCGACCCUAUUGUGUAGGUUGCCUGUAUACCUGCUGGCAGGAUCUAGUUAUCCAAAAUGGUCCUUUGUGUUCUCAUUUUGUUCUGAAAAUCAAAUUUGGUUCACUGCAAAACCCCAUGCUAAUGUGUAUACUCCUACAAAAAGUAAAUGCAUUGUAAACACAACAGGUGUGAUGGAAGAUAAAACGAGGCAUGAUGAUGUGUUCUGAAAAAGGAGGAUGAGAGAGAUAACAGACAAACCGUAUUAUCUGUUUGUUACAGGUGUAAUAGAAAUUCUGCUUUGGCUCAGACUAUGAGAGACAGAGAGGGAUGGAGGGGGAGCAAUGGAGAGAGAGAGAGAGAGAGAAAAUAAAUGUCCUCAGGGUGAUAGUGGUCUCUGUUCAGUGUCUGAACAAAAUGCCUGGUCUGAGUGAGCAAGGCCACUAACCAGCAUGGAACCCCACGGCAUCAAGCCGGCCCUCAUAACACUUACGUAUACGCUGCAAUUUGUUUAAAUACAUACUUCACGUCAAACACAAGCAACCACUCUGGUGAAGCAGAAGGCUUUAUUAUGAAUAUAAAUGUAGACUUUUGUCUUUAUUAUAAUUAUUUAUUUAUUUAUUUAUAAAUUGUCUUUAUCGCAGGUUAGAAAAUAGGUUAAAAAUUCCCCAGCAAAUCUUUUAAUAGUGUUUCCUCGCAAACGAAUGGUAUAAAAGGUGCGAUAUAAUUUGGAAUGAAGUCCCGUGGAAUUUACAGCAGGUCAAUAAGGUUUAAAGGGAUAGUCAAACGUUUUUGGAAAGUAAACUUCUUCGGUAUCUGGCGAAGGGUUUGAUGGGAAGAUUGAUACAACCUCAAUUUUUUGUGUUCCAAACAUGAAGCUUGAGUCAGUAGCAGGUUAGCAAGAGGGAAAGGAAUCAAUGCGAAGCCCAACAAAAAAUGUAGUGGUGCUGAAAUGUAUUUAUCGCGUCAUGAUAAUUACAUUUUUUACCUUUGACCAAACUAGUUUUUACUGAAGAGAGCCGGAAAGCACCACAAUAAAAACGUUAAUUGUUCGCUCCAAGCAGGACUGUGUUGUUUUCUGGCUAUUAAAAACAAACAAAAAAAAAGUACUGUCACAUUUUCCAAAUUUUGACAGUUCUCAUGAAAUGUCUAAAUGCAGUUCACUUUUGCUCAAUGAACGAUAAGCAGUUCUAAACCAAGCGAUCAGCCCACAGUGAAACAGAUAACAGCCAUAAUACAAAAUAAAACAUGAUGGAUGUUGAUAUUGCAUUACAUGUACAUGUCCUUUAGCUUUUAUCCAAAGUAACUUACAAUAAGUGCAUUUCCACCAUGAUAUUGUGGCGAGCCGCUACGAAUAAAUUAAGGUAUUGGAAACACUGGGAAAGAAAAUAUGCUCAAAUCGGGCUUCUGAAAACCCUCCAGUUGUGUGUCUGUGAGUGAGUGUGUGUGAGGAAGGGACAAGGAGACAAAGGGGACACUGGUGUGGCCGAUGGGCUGCUUGGUCUUUCUUGAUGCUUAACCAAGAGGACAGGAGGAGGCCCGACCAUGACGCUCAUCACUUCUGAUGCCCCCAUCUGUACUGGUGUCUCCCCACCAGUCAACCAGCCAACACACACACACACACACACACACACACACACACACACACACACGGCUCUAAUCUCUUCUGACAGUGCUCACAUUCAGUUAGGCCCCACAGUGCUUUUGCAUGUCACUGACCAUAAACAAAACAUACACUCCUCUACAGGAGACACACCACAGGACACAGGGCGCAGAUACCCGAGAAACACCACAAGACAGAGGUGUGUGGGGGGAGUGUGUGCGUUGCAAAAAUGUGUGUGUGCCGCCUUUGAUGGCUGCGUGUAUGAGAAGCUUCUAGGGAAGGAGAACAGAUGCCUGCAGGUCAUGUCCGAUCUCGGACGAUCGGGCAAAUCGCAAGGCUCGGUGAUUCCUGCGACGCGGAAAGAGGGAAGGGCGGUAAAAGGAGAAGCUACGUGGAAUAUUGUGGAUUUUGCCAAGAUGCAUUUUAUGGAAAUCAACCAAGGCUGAAUGAGCAGAAAAGAAAUAUGCUCCUCGGUUCAAUUUGCAGACACAGAGGGACGGUUGUAGUUUGCAGGACUAUUGCCCUGAUAAAAGAAAUGUUUGCGUAGCUUUUGGAACUUUUGGAAACCCCGGAUCCGAGACGGCGAGGACGCGUUGGGCUCGUCAAUGACAUACAGCCAAUGGGAGCGCAGGAUGUAUGUUGGGGGGGCGUUUCGUGGAGGUUGUGCCUGUUGAAAUCACUUUCUUUGAUUUAAAAAAACAAAUAAUCUAAUAAAAGCCGGAAUGGGUGCCGGAUAAAUCCAAUUACCUUCACCUGCACUUCUGUUUUCUUUUCAGUGUUUGGUGGCAGCUUGUUUUCGAAUACAAAUGAGUUCACGGGAAUGUCGUCCUAAACCUGUAAGGGUGGAGCAAAGGGCGGUUAUAUUCAAUCAAGUAAUGUCACCCAGAAGUCGGCACCAUGUGAAACUAACUGCAAUCACAAAAAAGGCCACACUGAUGAUUAUUGGGGAAUUAUCCCCAUGGGCUCCCUUAGCAGUCCAUUACAUCGCAUGCUGGAAACGUCAAAGCCAGAUUUAAGUGCCUUUUACUUUAACUUUUAAUUUGUUGACGCAUACUUACAUUUCAUGCGCCUUCUUUCAGAGUCCGAGAAUUUUGUCCGUGGAAAGAAAAUAUGUCGUGGAAUCAAAAUCAGGAAUCAGGAAACAUUUAUUGCCAAAAUAUGUCAAACAUACAAGGAAUUUGUCUUGGCGGUUGGUGCGUAACAGUAGACACAAAACGGACAAUAGACAACAAGACAGCAGUGCACAAGUAAUAAAAUAAAAUAAAAUAAAAUGAAAUGCAAUGCUAAUGCAAUGGGUAGUAGAAUAAGGCUAUAGGUUAGAAUAAAAUAAGAGAAUAAAGUUAAAGUUAAAAAUGUAAAAUAUUUUAAAAAUAUUAAAAAUAAAGUGCACUAUCGAACAAGUGAAAAAGUGACGAGUGACGGAUCUAAAUAUACCAUGAAACAGAAAUGCACCUCUUGUCUUAUUUUAACAGACCACUCGAAUAAAGGUUCAAACAUGAACUCGUAUUCUUAUAAAUAUGAAGCCAUCGCUCAUUUGAAACCACGUUCAAAUUUGAAUGUACCAAAUAUAUCUGCACAUCACUUCCAUGGGAAGUGAAACAGGACAAAAAGCCACACAUAGUUGUUUCCACAUAUUUAUUCACCCGUGUUAUAUCCUGAAAUCUUCAUCAGAUACCCGAGUUCAUCGCUGUAAUCAUGCAGUGAGGUACAAUUUCUCGUGCAGAUUGUACGUCUCUUCUUUAGUUCAAAAGCUUUGCAAAAAUGAUUUUCCUCCACUUGAGAAACAAACUAUUGACACUCACAGACUCCCCUGGGGUUGUUUCUAAUAUUUUUAGCUCCUGUCAAAAAUUAUUACUUUAGGUUUCGCUGUUGUGUUUUGUGUAGAUGCGCUUCCAGUGUGGGUCCCUGGAGAAGAAGGUUGAAUCCCAGUGAGCAAGCAGCUCUUUGGCUGCUGGCUGCUUAGGGAAUGGAAACACAGACAGACGUUCCCACCAGAGAAACAGUGCUGUUUACAGACGGUUUUAAAGCCGUUUUACUUUUUUAACUGAGCGACACUCGUCGUCGUGUGACGGGAAAGACAAGAGUAGGCGGCAUAAACAAAAAGAUCCAAGUGGAUGUGAACCAACAGCAUCGUGUAGGUGACACGUACUCUAAUUAUUCAGUCCAACAAGUCCUCAUACCUUAAUGAAUGAAUACCACAUGAAUGUGUCGUUGUGCUGCAAGACACGGCUGUCGAUAAUUUACGGUAAAGUUUAGGCAACUAGGUUAAGGUUAACGACUUAGUUAAGGUUUCGGGGGGGAUCGCCUUUGUUGUUCAUAGAAGCAAACAGUGAAUCUGGAGAUGGGGGGACGCAAACCCCCACGCUGUGUGAUAAACAACCUAAAAAUAGCGCCGUGGUAGAGCACUCGCAUGGGGGACUUCACGGGUUUGGUGAGAAGGUCGGAUCCUGCAUGUCCAGCUGGAAGGACGCACCAUUAGCGUUCCAGGGUCACAUGGCUGCCGAGACCGGUCGCCGUUAUCAAUGACGUUGGCGUUGAAAAUGCAUCGGCAACCUUGAAAUCAACAACUUAUGUUAUAGUAAGUUUAAAGUUUGAAGGAGUUAAUGAUGAUUAUAAUGAUAAUACUGAUGGUUUUGACAAAUGCAAAGCAUGGAAAUACGAAUUAAACAGGCUUCAAAUUCAUAAAAGGCUUUCUGAAGAAGAACAGUUUUCUAACAAAGAAACGAUUAUACCUGCAAGGAGGACAAAAACUCUUCUGCUUUAUAAGAUCCCUCCCAAGUCAAAUUGGCCUCGGAUGACAAAGGACAUUUUCUGACUCAUCUACUCCCCACAAAGUGUGAGGAAAGUCCUGCAGCACCAAUGGAGAAGACACCUUUAGAGUCUGGUUUUAGGUUACUUUAUCACUGUGUGCACACACACACACACACAACGAACAGAUUGGGCAUGAUUGGCAGUGCUGACCUGAAUGUGCAGAUGCCCCCCCAGCUACAAACGAGCAAGCGAGCAUACAAAGAGGCACACACACACACACACACACACACACACACACACACACUGCUAUACACAAUGGUGCACAUAUUAUCUUGCUUGUAAGCAUUCAUCUGCCCAAAAAGGAGCAACAGAAAUAAGUCCUAAAACCAGAAAACGUGUUGGCAUUAUCACACUAGUUCUGCCUGAAAUGAUUUGUGUGGUUAAUUCCAGAGUGAAAUGAACUGUUAACAAUUGUUAACAGUUCAUCUCAAUCUGGAAUGCUCUAAUUGUCUUUUAAAAAGGUGGUUGUCAGCGGGGGGGUUGGAUGAGACUAUGUCACUAUGCCCUGUACCCCACCUUCAGCUCAGUGACGUGGUGCAGUGUGUUUAUGUAUGUAUUUAGGUGUCAAAAUUCAUAGUCGUGGUGUAAAUAUUAACUUGCUGAUUAAAAUGUGCACGUAUCAUAAAUUUGUUUUAGCCCGAGGGCUUUUUUCUGUAAUAAUCCAACGGAAGAAUUUCCAAUGGGAUUUUUAUCGAGGGAGCUGGAGGUUUACUCAUUUCAUGGUUGGCCGUCAUGCAGAUGCACCGAUUCCAAAUAUUUUUGUGGAUUACGAUUUUUGAAUAAGUUUCAAAUGUUCAUUCAGAUUUUUACAAAUUCCGAUGGUCUUCCUAAGGAUAAUAGACAGCAAACCUCCAGACUAACUUCAAUGUUGACAAGGUGAUUGUCAUCCAUAACAGUAAAGUACAACUAAAAUGAUUUGCCAAUUAAUAAUUGUAUUUUGUAAUUAGUAAAUUGUCAGGUUUCGUUGUGUUUUUUAUUACGUAUAGGAGAUUCUGCUCGGGGCCGUCGUGUUGAGCUAAACUGGUCAUAAUUCACUCGCAAACUGUCAGGGUUGGGUAGGAAGGCAGGACUCAAGAUGCAGACUUAAACAAAAGAGACUUUAAUAGUCAAAAACUCCAACAAAGUAUAAGGCCAUAAGACAGGAAGUGCACCACACCGUGACACAAACACCUAUUUCACAUUUCAACACAUCAUAGUAGCAUUUUAUUUUACUUAAAACUUCUUUUGACAAAGUAGAGGUUGCCACACAAUCGAGCCAAUAAAUUGUUUCCUCUCAGCUCUUCCCCAAAUGGCUCCGAGUGAGUGUUAACAGGAGGGAUACCAGCCGCUUGCAGCCCUGAGCCUCGGCCCCCCCGCUGCAGACAACAGUGGGCGAAUAUUCAUCCCUGCUCAUGUAAUCAUUGUGACUUCAGUGUGGUGGAUCUGAGGGGUUGUUCUUAUGACCUGCAGGGCUUCAGAGGAACUCCAGUAGCUUGUUUGGAUCAUGUGAGCUGGAGGGAUGAGGAUGUUUCAUUUAUUUGUUUUUCCCAGUGGAGGGAAUAUAUGCUCUGUCCUUGAUGACUUUAUGUCUUAAACUUCAGCUUUAAGUUUCAAGAAUAUUCUUAAAUAUCUUUUUUAAUUGCCACUUUUAUUACCGCAUAAAAAUGUAGGGGAUUUGAAGGGGAACAGAUACAAACAUUCACACUGUGUAACUCUGUUAUGUUUGGCAAAAACUGAGAAAAUUAUGGCCUCAUUAUCCUGAAAUCACUUUUUAAUUUGAAUUAAUUGACCUAGGCGUAAAGAUAUUACAUAGCAUGUUGCUACUGCGUCAUGCAAAGCGGUGAUAAAGUGUAAUAAAUCCAACGUCCCCUAUUUCUAAGUUUUUAAAAACUGUUUAGCCCUGGCACUGUAAGCUCAUGCACACACACACACUCACUCUCACACACACACACACACACACACACACACACACACUCUGAUUGCAAAGGCGGAGCAGAGAGUAGCAAAGCAGAAAGCGAGAGGAGGGCUCACCAUCUCCUCCGUUAAGCCUGGCUGACUAAUUCUUGCUGCUAAUUUGCGUUUGGUUAAUUAACUAAUUACUGAGGAUGUCUGAGGGCGAGGCUGUCUGUCAGCCUGUAUCAGUAAUUAUUUUCAGCGUUUUAAUUAGACUCACACACUCCUAGUCUCAAUUUCUCCCCUCCUACCACACACCCGCACACAUUCUAGCGUAAGUAAACAGCCUAACAACAGCAAGGAGGCCCUGUAACGUCUCUAUCUGGUUUUCUGAUGUUUAAGGUUUCACGAUAAUUUACAUUUACAACUUUAUUUAUAUAAAGAGGAGGGUAUUUUACUGACUUGCUGUUGGAACGUUAUCAAUAUCAUGAAUACAGUGCAGGGACGUCCCACUAGAGAAAGACUGUUUAGAUUUAUCCCCCAUUUCCUCCCUGUGUGCUGCAGAGUUUAUUUUAAAGGAAUAGUUUGGCAUUUUGGACAAUAGGUUUAUUGGCUAUAGAGUUUAAUGAGAAGAUUGACACCACCCUUAAACCGGGGAACAGCUACAGCCUGGCCUUUUCACAACUUUAAAAGAUCACUAACCAACACUUGUGAAUCUGCACAAAAAUAUCUAAGAAUCACACCUGGUGCUGCUAUGGGGAGCUAUAGCUGGGACUAUUUCUCAUCUGGGUGGAGGGAUUUCCUGAAGUCCUAUCGUACUGGGAAUGAAUAUGAGAAUUGUAUGAGUUUGUUUAAUUCAUUCUUUUUAAAAAGAACCAUGUUACUGAAGCACAGUUUCUGAGAGGCUGAGGUGGAAUAAAACACUGCAAGUCAAGUUAGAGGUGGGAGGUGAAAUAUGAUCCGAGUCCAGUUUGAGGGUUACAUUGUGUGCUUGUACAUUGACUGCUCUAUAUGACUUCUCCUUCCGGACUUGUUGAGUCCAAACUCCUGGACGAAGCCCAAGGAGGACUAUUAGGGUCUCAAUCCCAUUUCACUCGCUAACUCUGCAACCCAAUGCGCUCGUAGGUCCUUCUCAUGAGAUCAAACAAACAUUAAGUGCAACCACUUUUCUGGACAGUCUGUUUCAGAGGCCUUUCCCCCCCUGAUAGGAAUCCCCCGCUGGGGGAAAUGGGGGCGCAGCGUUUCUUAUCGUUUAAAAAUCUGUGGAAUAGAAAUACAAGGUUUGCUGUUAAAGCGCAUGUGCAGAAAUACAUCAUAGCUGUCAAAAACCAUUACAGAGAGAUAUCUUAACUGAGCAAUGACUGAGAUUCAUGAUGUAAAAUUCUCAAUGAAAAGAAGUCUUGGCAAAGAUGAACUAUUCUGUAAAGCUCUGAAUUGUCUCAUUGCUUUACUGUAGAAAUUGAAUUGAUUCCCUUUUUUAAUGUAUUCUUGUUUUGAGGCUUCAAUGCCAAAAUAAGAUGCCUCAUCAGCUUUCUGCCGGGUCAGAUCUUGGCACAGAGAGAAGGAGAGGAAGAGAGAGAGAGGGGGGGGGUUAAAUAGUGAACGGAUCUCUGCAGAUUUCAUACCAAGAAGCCAACUUUAGUAAACAGGCAGAACUAAUGAGGACACUGAACACACACACACACACACAUGCAGACACCCACACCCACAUCCACACACACACACAACUUAGUGUCUGAGUAUUCGGAGGCCCCCCAGGCCCCGGGGCCAGAGCAGCCCAGAUACCUGAUGGGAGCAGGGACAUCAAAGCUGCAGGAUUAGAGAGAGGGGAGAGCGCCGCGGGGAGGAAAUGCUAACUUAUUAUCCGCUUCCCAGCUAAUCCUGUUAUCUACAGAAUAUAGCUGUGUUUAACCCCCCCUACACACCUCCCUCUGACAACACACACACGAGGUGUACACACACACAGAAUUUGGUGUUCGGGGGGUUCGGCAGCCUCCCAGAGCGUCCCCUGGUUCUACAAUGAACCCCCAAAAGCCAUCUGGUUGUGUAUCUUAGUUUAAGAUGAUGUACAUGCAAUUGACCCCCCACCACCACCACAUGCUCAAGUCCCAGUCCUCUUCGUAGAUCCUUCGUUAGUUGGGCCAAUAAGGUCGUCCUUAAGUCCACUUCAGUGUUGGGGGCCACUCAGGUGAUGUAACGCCCCCUCGGGCAGACCAAUCGGAGGCCCAUGAAUAAGGCCCCCCCCCAUAGGCUGAGUUUGGCACCCAAGCUGAAUACGAUUUAGUUCCCACAAUUCACUUUCAUUUGUGCUCCAAUGUUCACAAACUGAAUUCAAUACGGAAUUGUCCUUUUUGAAAAUGUGUACAGUAUUGUGCUACAUUUUAAUUCAUAAUGAUUUAAAGAUAUUUGAAUUGCGUAGCUGAAGAACAUGUGAAACAAAGCUCAUGUGGGUUCAUGUUUGACAGAUUUAAGUUCAGACUGAGCAUAUGUUCACAUGAGAUGCUCCCCAAACCCUUUUAGAAAGGUGUAUUAAUGUCCGAUUUCAUCACGUGAGAGAUGCAUUAAUGCUCACACUAUCUACUUUUCAACGGAAGAAGUCAUCUGGCACACAAACAGUGAGAUGUGAGAGCUUCCACAGAGGCAGAGUUAUAGUCGGACGUUUCGUUAAAGCAGGAUAAGAUCUCAGCUCUUCUAACAUGUACUUGUUCUUGUGCUGUGAAUGUUAAUCUGUACCAGUAAAUAAACUUCAUUUGAAGAAUGCUGAAGCUGUUUCACCUGCACUGAACCAACAGAAAUCACUCCUUUUUUAGGCUUUUUGUCUUACGACUGAUGAAAGCGUUGAAAUGAGACUUGUUUUGAACCUAAUGGUGCUCAUUAAAUAUAAGUCAAAUAUCUGUCAAAUGUACUUUCAGAUCCUUCAGGUGGCAGAUGUUUGUCUUUUGGGGCUGAGUACAACUAGCUUUUAUGUUUAUGUUUAUUUACUCCUUACAGAACUUAGUUUAUUUAAGUAUAAAUGCUGUAGAGACAAAUGUUAAAGGACCAAUAUCAAUGCUAUACCUUCAAGUGCUGUUCAUUAGCACCUUCAUUAGAGUUCAGCUGUACAAAUGACUUGUUGCACAUCAUCUGUCUCUGCUUAAUUAUGGUAAUGAUGUUAAUAAUUUAUAGAUAAAACAUCCUAAGAGGUUAUUAUCAGAAAUGAAGAUACGCAUUACUACAAUCUAUUAAAUUAUCAAAGAGGAGGAAUAUAAAUUGGUUUAUUGUUUGAUAUGUAAUUGAUACUUUGAAUGAUUUAUCAGACAAUUUAUUAAUUCAUUGACAAUUUGUUCUCUUUCCAAAGAACACAGAAUAAACUUGACUAGCCGUUUCAAACAUCACACAUCUGCACACAGAGACCGUUUUCACAGACUAUUGGACGAUGCGAGGGAAUUCAUUAUAUUUAUGACAGCAUGUAGGCAGCAUAUGGACCGCUAAUCCUCCCCGAUUAAGCUCCAAUAAAUUGAGCUACCACAAGAUGAUAAGCUGGCAAACAAACAAACUCUUGAUUGUGGAUCUUAACCGGCGUCAAUGUUACACCACGAUGAAAUACAAACGCCACAAAGGACUUAUAUUACCACCAUAACGUGGCUGCAUGACCACAAACUUAUAAUGCAAACGGGUCCUGUACAUUCAUUUACUGGUAGGCAUAAUUAGCUAAAAUAAGCUAAAAUUAAAAGGGUAAAAAAGGGGAGUGGGGGGCAUUUCAUUGCAGGUAAUGUUUAUCUGAACAGAAGUGGUAAAAGAAUAUGAUGCGCUAAUACAUGUAGAUGAAGUAAAAUUGUCAUUAGGCUAAUCAGCACUAAACUAAUUGGGAGUCAUGGACCCUUCAUAUCUGCUAAUUCUAACCCUAAACCCCAGCUCAUAUCUGCAAGCAAAUACAGGAGGAGAGAGAGAGCAAGAAACGUGGAGGGAAAGCGCUGAAAAUGAGAGUGAGGUAAGAAGAGGAAGAGAGAGAUGAAGCCUAAUUAAGAGUGCUGGGAUUUAUGCAAAUGAGACGGUGCUGAUAUGGUAAUCAGAGCCUUCAGGGCCGUAACAGGCUGUGUGUGUGUGUGUGUGUGUGUGUGUGUGUAUCUAAGAGGCUGACAGCUGGCUGUGAGGAAGGUCAGAGCCAAUCAGGCUCUUACUCUAAUGCACGCUGCCCUGUGGCCACUCCAGCAUCUCACUGCGCUCGCUCGCUCUCUUUUCUUGGUAUCUCUCUGCCCCUCGCUGUUAUCCUAACCCUCUACAAUCAUUCCGUCUCUGCCUCUCUUUCCUUUACAUUUCGCCGGUUGUCCGUCUCGGUGCGUCUCGAUGCCGCGCACGAACUCAUGGACAACCAUUGUUUUCACACAUUCACUGACGAUUGGACGUCAACGCACGUUUGUCACUUCCAUCUCGCCUUAUUCUAUAUCAUGAAUAUUUAUCUAUGUGGACGUUGCUAGACUUUUUGGUACAUUAUUCAAUAUUCCCUUAGUGUCUCUCUGAUUAUAGGUGGAAGAAACCUGAAAUAAAACACGCAAUUAUCUGAAAAGAGUUUGUAAGUAUCACAGGCCACAUUGUUGCCUGUACUUAUUGUCAUUACUUACAUCAAAUACAUUGUUUAUUAAAUAAGCCUCCUAUGACUUCUGUGACUUGUCAAUAAGUUAAUGUAACCAUUUGAUGGGUACAAUUGAGUUUCACUACAAAACAAUAAAUCAUGCAAAAGCACCACUUUUAAUCAUGUUAACCAAAGAUGUGCUUAUGAAUCUUUUAAGUCAUUCAGCAUGAAAGAAAGCAUGAAAAACGAGUUAUCAAGUUGAGUUGUCUGAUUAGUUUUUAAUCAGCAUGAUAUUUAUACUCCAACCACUGAAAGCAUCCAUGUGAGCUGUAGAUCCAAGGCUCCGUGCGUCCACUGUGUUACAAUGCGUCAUGCUCGGCCCAAUACAAUAAUAUGAAAGCUUCUAAAGAAAGAAAGAAAGAAACUACAAUACAUUCAGAACUCAGCUGCCGGUCUACUCCUGCACCAGAGAUCACGCCCCCCCAGCCCCCCAGAACUGUUCAAGAUCAUUCUCAUACCAUAUAAAGCCCUUCACACCCUCGCCCCCUCAUACCAUUCCUACCCCUAAAUUUACACUACUUCUUACCCCACCUACUCUGUCAACGCAUCGGACCUGUGGGGGGCAGGGCCUUCUCUAUCGAUGCCCCCUCCCUCUGGAACUCCCUCCCCCAACACCUCAGAUGUUCUCCGUCACUCGCCCUAAAAACUCACCUGUUUAAAUCCGCCUUUACCACGUAAAGUGUUUGAGUGCCUUUUAAAGCGCCAUAUAAAUAAAGUGUGUUAAUAUUCAAAUGCAACAAAAGGAUUGAAUUAGUGCAAUAAAAAUAGACAGGUAUUAUUAUUUGUUAACAUACGAUACAGUGUUUGUCAAAAGCGCAGUCUCUGCCUGACGUUACACACUUACAACGACACGUUGAGUGGAUGGACGGGUGAGUGGGUGAGUGACUGAGUAGAUGGGUGAGUGGGUGGAUGAGUAAAUGGGUCAGUGAGUGAGUGAGGGAGUAGACGGGUGAGUGUGAGGGACUGAGUGGGUGGGUGAGUGAGAGACAGUAGAUGGGUGAGUGGGUGAGUGAGAGACAGUAGAUGGGUGAGUGGGUGACUGAGUACAUGGGUGAGUGAGUGACUGAGUAGAUGGGUGAGUGGGUGAGUAGAUGGGUGAGUGAGUGACUGAGUGGAUGGGUGAGUGAGUGAUUGAAUGGGUGAGUGGGUGAGUGACUGAGUAAAUGGGUGAGUGAGUGACUGAGUAGAUGGGUGACUGAGUCAGUAGAUGGGUGAGUGGGUGAGUGAGCGGGUCACAAAUCAAAGUUUCAUUCAGCGUAAAGCACAAAGCUCGGGUGUCAUUAUUAUUUUAAUUGACGAUUGACAACCGGACAUUUUAGUUUCCACUGAUAUUCUCAAUUGAUAUUAACGAAUAAAAUAACCCUCUCAACAAGAAAGAGGAUUAAUUACAUGAACUCUAUGAAAAGGCCAAUUUGUUCAGUUCAUCGUCACCGGGGAGCACGGAUGACUUUAAAAGUCUCACUGAACAGGUGGGUCUUUAAUAGAAGAACCUCUUCAGCACUGUGACCUUAAGCAGAACCCCCCCCCCCUCCCAUCAGGCUCUUCAUGCGUCAGUGUGCUGCAGGAUUUCCGUACCUCACAAGUGGAAUGAAACGCGGGGCGGCUUGAUAAUUGUUAAAGUCUCACCCCGUGUGCGUGCGCGCACACACACACACUCACAACCCAGGGCCAUGUGGCCAUAUCAACACAUCUGAGUGUAAUCCAGUUAACUGAGUGUCCCAAAUGACUAAAUUAAUCAGAGGAAUAGUAUCAGGCCCAUCUCUCUGUACGGCUUUGAUGUGUGUACACACACAGAAACUCAAACAGACUUGUGUACAUACACACAGACACACACACACACAGACACACAAAGACAGAUACAAGACACAUAUAGAGUAGAAAUUAGUGUGGAACAUUGGUCGAACUGAGGAACGACUUUACCUGCUCUGAUAAUAAGGCCUUAAACCCACGGAGGGGCCUGUGAGAUACUAUCAUUAAACCGGCGCCCCCAGGGGUACGGAACACACACACACACACACACACACACACACAGACGUCGGUUGUAUGCAUGGGAGUGAGAGAGAUCAAAAAGAUGCAUUGAUUCACGGCUCCACAGUAAAAUAGAACAAAAAAGAUCAUAACUGUGGUUCUGUUGCACCUGCGAAGUGCACGUGUUCAACGACGACAUCACUCCUAAUUGACGAUCGUGCUUGUGAGAUACAGUUGAGGGGUAAAGUGCUUCCAACACAGCUCUGACUUCCUUAUCAUCUUUCCUCCAGAUGCUACAGCUGCCAACAGCAGAACAAAGGUGCCUUGAUUCUGCCGUGUAGUUUUCUAAUGUUGGAAAGACUUUCACGCGAAUUUCACGCAUUUAACUAAUAACAAUAUGACAUUUCAUCACGUGCUACACUCUCUAGCAGGAAUCAACAUGGUUCAAGGAUUUGGUCGAUUUCACCUCUUUUGAUCUUAUUCCAGUUAUAGUGAUUUUCAUAAUAAUUUUGCAACACAAAUGAGCUGACAAGAGGUUGUUUGGUUUGCGUUGUCGUGGUGAUUAUCGGGUGCAGGCAGGCAGGAAAGAGGCACAAUUGUCUGUUGUCUUCUUCCCGUAGACACAACAGAAACUCGUCCAACAACUGAUUUUAGGGUUGUUGUUUUUUACAAGGGCAUCACUUAGUAUUAGUAUCUCGGGAGACUUUUGUAAACUUCUGUUGGUUAGUUAGUUAGUUCUGAAACCGUGGGUGACACACAAUCAGGAACAACAAUAGUGCAUUUUAUGACACAUAUUUAUUUGGUGGUUUAGGGAGUCAUAUCAACAGCUACAGCUACUUGCCUUAGUUUGCACCAGUUGAAACUACACACGUUCUAUUAGGCUCACUUAAUCCGCAGUGCAAAAACUUUUUCCCGUGAAAAGGGGUGUAGCUUUUCAAAGACAUGGAUGAAUAUUAAUUCAUAUUAAUGAUCUUAUAAUAAUAAUAAUAAUAAUAAUAAUAAAACAAUUUAAGUGAAUCCGCUUUAAAUCCCCAAAUAAAAUCAGUCAAUAUAACAAGCAGAGUUAAUUAUCCUUCAUACAAAAUAUGUUGUUUUUUUUUGUCACUAAGCAACGCAAUCAACUUUUUAAUUACAGAAAAUAUUUCACUGUCACAUCAGUGUCCUGGUGGUGAAAAGGAGAAUCUCAGUUUCACAUGCUUUUAAUGUUGCUUCAGAGGUGUUUCCCAUCUUGCCAGUAGACAUUUGUGGUACCUACAGUAUCACUGUGUAGCAUUUUGGGGGUUUUGUUGCAUUGAUUAAAAAGGAGCGUGUUAGCGGAGCCAGGCAGCUUUGAGCUAAACCAAUGCUCACAAGCAGAACCCUCCAUUAAAAUAAUGAAAGCAAUAAAAGCAACAACAACAACAACAACAACAAUAAUAAAACCUUUGGAAAACAUUUCAUAAACCAUCAGCAGCCAAUUAGAGGAGCCGGCGCAGGCUGUGCUUUGUGUGUGAGUGUGUGUCUGUGUGUGUGUUGGGUAUUAGAGCGUUACAGCGCCCAGCCCGGCUGUGCCCUGCAGGCCCGACCUUCUAAUCAUUAUCUGUCUGUCUUAUUACGCUCCAAACCGGGCCACUCUUAAAUAAAAUAUGCAAAGGUUUCUUAAAUGAUGACCCGAGGCUGCGCGCGCCGCCGCUGCUCUACAUGCUGUUAAUCUGAGAAAUGCAAAUUCCCUUCAUCUCGCACUCGCCUUUAUUAACUUUUUUGAAUUUAAAAUUCCACGAACAAUGAGUUCUGUCAGCUUCUGAAAUGAUAUUUUCUCUCCUCUUUUUAUGUGCGCACGGAAGCGAGUUUAGAGCAUGAAAUUACCAGGGGAAAUAUGAGCGGUUUCAUCUCUCCCGCACAAUUUAAUUGGCUGCUUUGCAAUUAUUAGUUUUUGCUGCUAAAGUUUUUCUGUUUUUUUUUUUCCUUUACUGUUUCCUUAAAGUGGCAGCUCACAACAGCGUUUUAUUUUUCAACGUAUACAUACACAUAGGUGUGUGUGUGUGUGUGUGUGUGUGUGUGUGUGUGUGUGUGUGUGUGUGUGUGUGUGUGCGUGUGUGUGUGCCUGCAAUUCCAAAGGCAACCCUUAGUUGGCUGCUCUGAUUGGCCGCUCUGAUUUGCUGGGUGAUUCCAUGUUAGUUACACAGCAUUUUAAUAUUCACAUUUUAAAUUCAGUUUUAUUGUGAGGAAAAAGUCUCUUAAGCUGGUGAUAAUAGACAAAUGGAUGCGUAAAAAGAUCCCUUUAUUAUGCACAAUAGGUUUUUUAGAGUAUCUGCCUUUUCUUGAAUUUGAUUUUUGACAUUUUGUUAUUUUUUUAACUGCAGAUUUCACACACAGAACAAGGUUUAUUCCUCACCUUUUCUCAUGCACCUCUUUUCUUCUACCUGUUCUAUGUCCACGUGUUCUCCCUAACAUCAUUCUCCAUGCUUCUGUCCCUCCGUCAUUCACCUCGUUCUCGUUCUUCCUCUCAGAGGUCCAAAUGGCUCCAGGUGAUUAUGAACUUCUGACUCAACUUCUUCAGACUAUCAGAGAAAUGUUUUUAAGUGUUCAUGCAUUGUGUUCACCUGCCGUCAACUUUGCCUGCAGUUUAUUGCUGAGCAGGCAGCGUACAGGGGGGUCAACUAAAUGACUGAGUACGACCAGAUAGACAAAAUCAAUGAAAAAGAAUUAAAACAAUACUACAAUUAUGGUCAAAAAACAAAACAAUCGCAAAGAGUUGAGAGUAACGUGGAGCCAUGGUGAUUAUUCAGUGUUGAAGGUACUUCCUUUGAGAUCUUACACAUCAGGUCGUGUACUAUGAUCAUUUGCUGCGUUUCGAUGUGAAAAAUAUUUAUUUCUAAUCUCAAAGUGUGUAACCAUGUUCCCCAGAGAUGGAUUUAAAUGUUUACAACAACUGAAAAUUUAAAAUCUGUAUCCUCCACCUCACACUGUGUUUUCCUCUCCAUCUCCUCCUCUGGUCUCUUCCCCCCUGCUUGGCAGCCGAGAGUAAUGGACGAGGUUAUAAGUGUGUGGAGGCUUCAAUUGCUUUAUAGGAAUAAUGACUCUGAACUAAUGUUGAUUAGAAAGAAAUAAGACGCAAACAUAACGAGGGCUCGCGCCUCAUUCCCUUUAAUCGCCGUCCUUAUUUACCUCUCUGCCAGAGUGCUGUUGCUCAGCUUCCACAAAGGAGCAGCAAUAGGAUGUUAUCAGGAACAGGGAAAAACACGGAAAUAGGAAAUAUAUGAAAUAUUGUAUCAGGAAAAAACAACAGUUAAAUUGAUUUUAGCCAGACACAAUAAAGAAUAGUUCAUCCGGCGUUUGUGUAAAAUGAGCAUCCUCAAUAAGACCAUAGGUAAGACCUUGUUGUUAGACCCUCCUUAAACAACCUCAUCUCAUUUCCCCGUCUGUAGAGCAGGCUCUCUACAGAUGUGAGAAAUGUGUGAGGUGUGGAGCCAGAGCCAGGAGGCCACUAGUUUAGCUUAGUUUAGCUUAGCUUAGCUUAGCUUAGCUUAGCUUAGUUUAGCAUGGCGUAGAUUAGCUUAGCCUAAAGACUGGAAGCAGGAGGAAAAGGAGGGCCUGGCUCUGAAGUGACACAUGUCUACUCUUGAAGAGACAGCAAAUGAGUGUUAGAUGGGUUUCAUAUCCCACAAGGAAGGAAAAUAUACAUACAAAGAACAUCUGUCUCAGGAAAGGUUGCCUUCCUAAUCAUUCACCCAGAAAUAAUACAUUAUAUUAAAAAGAGUAACAUUGUUUGUUUAUUCAUGUGUUUGCUAUUCGCUGUACUGCACCACAUACAGAUAGGCGACAAUAUGUUUAAUAGCUUUCGGCCUAUUCGUCAGUGCCUUGUACAUAAUACUACACUAUACAUGUUUUUACUAUCUUGAAAUAUUGGCUAAUAAGUGGAGUGAAUUAGAUUUAUUUUUUAAGUGACAUUCUUCUGCUCUCGCCACCUGUGAUUAUUUUUUACCCGUUAAACACAAAGCAAAUUCCAUGUAAGUAAAAGUGUCAAAUGUGUUCAAAUUUAAAACAGCAGCAGUUUUAUUAACUACACCUGACAGGUAAAAAGAAGAUUUUAAAGCAGCCUGGAACUUUAACUCAGAGAACUCUAUCGUUCAGUCCGUGUUCCCAAAAGACGUUUGCACAAAGCGCCCUCCUCCUCUGUGCCGAGUUGUAGUUUCAGUCUGAGAACAUUCUCCCUGUAACACCCCCACAAUCCCUGCAUUUCUCCGCUCUCAUCAAGCUCUUGCUCUUGUCCUUGCCGCUCAACUGCUGUACUUCAAAGUACUUUCACCAGCACCUUUCUCCUCCUCCUCCUCCUCCUCCUCCUUCUCCCCCACAAACCAUUUAGUUUUGCCCUCAGUGUUAAAAAAAAUAACUUCCACGCUGCCUCCCGACAUGCAGAAGAUGAUGAUGCUGUUUUUGCUGCAGCGGCACAAAGAAAUGCUUUGUUUUGAAAUACGGUAAAGACGGGAUAAAUGUGAUACAAGCAUCAGAAUGCUACAUUUCAUGAAUCUUAAAAUCAUCUACGAAUAAUCAACACUGUCAUAACAUCUGCAAUGUUGCAGAUGACGCAAUGGAAAGCAAUUAACUGGUGUGCGUCUGUGAUGCAUGGUUGUGAUGCCGUUUGGAGGAGCAAUUGAUUAGGCCCGCCGGAUCUCAGCCAGGAGCUCAGUGCAUUGUGGGUGACGGAGCGGGGAGGGGGGGGGGUUUGGGGUCCGUGGUGACGACGGCACAUCCACGCAAACGCACCGAUUUAUCCACCCUGUGAUAUUGUUGGUAUUGAAUAAUUCAAUGAUUUUAUCAGCCCCAACCACAACAAAUGACUUAAUUAUGCUAAUCGAAGCCACAAACUCUGAGAGAUGUUAGUGUGAGUGUGUGUGUGUGUGUCUGCUGGAUUGACAGAAGCCUACGGGCCUCAGCACCGAAACGCUGAUCUGGAAUUUCACAUCCUUAUCCCAAAAGCCUUAGGACACACACACACGCACACACACACACAAGUGAGCGCACACACAGACACACAUACACACACACACACACACACACACACACUGCCCAAAGAGCCACCGGGCGAUUAGCACUACUCUACCUAGAGUCUUUUGAUUUGCAUAGCAAGUCAGAUGGAAUUCAUAUCAGUGUGCAGCAAGUGUGACACACACACGCACACACACACACACACAAACACACACACACACACACAUACCUACAUAAGAGUAUGCACAAGCAAAAAAACACACACGCGCACACAGAGCGUGUGUAAAGUGAACACGAAGCAGUUGUGAUUUCUUUUCUGGCGUCUCAGUGAGGUUAUAAUUCACAAUGAUGGACUGUCUGUGUCUGCAGUGCAUCACCCAGGGCAACACACACACACACACACACACACACACACACACACACACACACACACACACACACACACACCUGUGGUCUGCACACACUGACAACAUGAAGAUGAACAGCAGCCCGCUCAACGUUGACGAAAGAGAGGUAACAGCAUCGCUUCUUUCUUAGACGGUACACAUGACAGAGAGCUGAGGUCGGCUCGUUGUGAGCAGACUUCCGUUGUUUCUUACAACUCAACACAAAUACCAAUGACUUCAAUCAGAUGUUUUCAAUAGCUGCUAUUUUCUCCCUUAAGUUUAGAUUUGAUUUUGAUUCAAGCCAGAAGUCGCUGGGUAAGAAGGCCUUCAGAUCACCGGAGCUCUUAAACACCCCAAGCUGGUUUGCAUUUAUAGAUUUACAGAGAAAAAUGGGGAUUUGGGACAGUUUAGCAAAGCUGCACAGUCAGGCAGCAAGCAACAAGUAAGUUGUUUCAAAUCCAAACGACGGAUAGUGGAUGGAAUCGUGGAAAUGGGAUUUUCUUUUUAACUUGUGAGGGGGCCCAAAAGGACUUUUCCCCUCGGACUUACUUUCUGAAAUAGUCAUCUUCAAUUUAGCACAUCAUUGUUUUUGUAAAUCAACAGCCCUGGUUGAGAAGCUUUUUAGGUUAUCAUUAGAUCCCAAAAGUUGCCAAAUGUAAACUUAUUUUCCUUCAUCCCUCAUGAAGCUGAGCGACUGGGAGGCGGGGUUAAAGGGAGCGCCGGAGCUUAAGCGCUGUAGAAUAGAUCCAUUGAUGAUCUGGGAAAUUUUAUAGCUGGCAGUCGAUCUGUAUCCACAUGUUUCUACGGACCCACAUUGACAGCAGCAGGGUCAUUCAUGGGAGACAUUCUAUUUUUCUCAUGAACCACUGUAGUUAACUGGUCUAAGGUAUCUUCCAACGCUACAUGUGUGCUAAAAAACUCAAAUAUAUUCUGUAUGCAAAUCAAACAUUUCCCCCGUUUGACAUUCCAUUGAUGUAAAUUAACAGCUUUCCUUUUCAACAAAAGCAGAUUCUUGUUCGUAUUACAUUUCUCUUUUGAGAAUUUUCCAUCAACUAUUGUAACAGGACAAAGCACACUAGCACACCCAGUGUGUUGGGGGCCACAAAGUCAACACAAAAAUGUUUGGAGACUUAGCGAUUUGCAGUCAGAACGUUUGGCUUUUUCUCAACAAAUGAGGUUCUCUUUUGACAAUGAAAAACAAACUAGUAAACUCGGCCCGUUUCCAUUGUUCUCCUGUCAAACUCAGUGUUCGGUCCACAUUGUGGAGCAGAACAGCCUGACCACGAACACUGCAAUUGAACGGUUUUAUGGAAAACAGCUGUGUUGAAUCUGUUCCAGCCCCCUUUUUUUUCACCUCAUGAAUGAAAUUUCCCAUGCUGCACUGCUCCAGGCUCUGGCACCGAGGAGGUAGAACGCUCUCCCUCUCUCCCUCUCCCUCUUUCUCUCUUUGUUUAAUGCCUUCAAACACCGUAUUGCCGUUUGUCAAUUACUGACACACGUUUUGGCAACAAACACGGCAUUAAUUGAAACAUUUAAUUAGCAUUAAAACCAGUAGUAAUUAACACCUUUUUUCUCCGGCGCACUCUGAGCCAGGCUCAAAUUCUAUUAAGGCUCUAAGCAGCUCACCGUUUCCCUGCUCUGCACUGACUUUUUGUAGCAUCGACAAAUGUGUGUGUGUGUGUGUGUGUGUGUGUGUGUGUGUGUGUGUGUGUGGGCGUGUGUUUAUGUGUGUGCACGCACGCAGGGCCCCAGGUAAGGAGCUUCCGUGAGGAGUGGAGCACCAAGGCCGGGCCCGCUGGGUGCCCAGGGGAGGAGGAGAAGAAAGGCUGUUGAGGAGGGAGGCGAAGGCGAAGUGAGGAAAAAUAAAUAAUAAAAAGCAGGGAGCAGGUCAAGAUGGGAGGGAGGGGGGUGAGAAAGAAAUAAGGUGGGAGGCGAAGGAAAGGCAUGAAUGAGGGAGGUGGGCGAGAGGGAGCGACAGAAGGAUUAAAAGCAGAAGGGGGGGUGAAGAAGAAGAUGAAGAAGAAAGGGAGGGGCUUGUGAAAAGUGAGAAAGAGAAGAAGCAGAGCGACUGUUUGAACACACACACACACACCGUGAGGAUUAACCAAUACUUUUGCGUGUGUGUGUUUUACAUACAGUUCAUGUUUGCACAUACUUGUGUGUGUGUGUGUGUGUGUGUGUGUGUGUUGUGGUGUGUGUGAGGCCUACUUGGAGCCAAAGCAGGGGCCUGGAUUAGUUGCGUUUGCCAGAGCUGGGGGGCAGGAUUAGCAGGCCCGGGCUGCUGUCUGACGCCGCUCUGCCACCACUAAUGGCAUUAUUAAUAGGCAGCUAAAAAAUUCAUUAAAAAAUCUAUUAAAAAUAAAUGUGUUUUACAUAAGACUUUGCCCCAGGUAGAAGGGAGGCAGGGGGAGAGGGAGGGGGGGAGACAGAAUGGGCGAUUGUUAGCUUUGAGGUCAGCUGAAUAUCACAGUUCAGCCUCAGCAGAGAGAAGUAAACACAACAACGCUCGUGUGACCGGAAACGUGCCGCUUGUGGGGUAACGAGGACAAAGCGACGCGGCCGACGUCCACGAGGCUCAGAGUGCACGUUAAAACACACGUCCGCUGUUCCUGUCCUACACAGCCGGUAGAUUGUGAACGAAAAAGUGAGAAAAUGCACCAUGAGCCGAUGACUCCCCCUAUGUGAACGUGUGUGGCCGGGUCGCAUAACAGGGUAAGAAAACUGGGUCAUUUUCCUUUUCUUUCAUAUGUUAGUUUGAAGCCAAAAAUAUAUCAUUGCCGUGCAAAUAAAUGUCACACCGAGCUCACAUUCACACACUGUGUUGGUCCAAAGCAUCGUCUGCAUCAAAGUAUUUAAAAGUGAUUAGCGUCGUCCUGUGAGUGAAACGGUCAGGAGUUAUUAUCUGAGAGGCGGAGGCGAGGGGGGGAGGCUGAAGGUGAGACGGUUCUGCUUUGUGUGCGCCCUGCGGACAUUUUAACCAAAUCAGAUUAACAACAAUAGCUGUGUCUAAACGCACACACACACACAGAUCUGAAGGGGGAGCACGGGGGGCAGUUACACGUGGCAGCUGCCGGCUGAAAGACGUUAUCUUUUGAAUUUAUGUGUGUUUAUUUCAUGUUACAUGCGAUCAGACCAAGACAGCAACUGAUUUUGGAGUCCGCCUACCACCCCCCCCCACCCCCCCCCCACACACACACACACAUUUUCUAUUUAUCUGAAAGGAGCAUAGUUGUAUUCCUGUUACAAAAUACGGGACUCAAAAUUGUGAGAUCAGUAGCUUUCACCGAAUAACCUGAGCUGGUGUUCAAUUAAUAAGCUGCCUCACAGCGACGGGGAUCCUUCUCUUAUGAGUGAUGCAUCACGAUUCAAUCAAUAUUAGUGAACAUUGGCUUAAUAAACAUGACAUAGAAGAAGGUAGAGGCACAAAUACCUGAAUACAUUUUGACCGAUGCAUUAUCAGAGAGUCAGAAAAAUAACCUAAAACCACAAUUAUUAGUCUAAAAUCAUUUUAAUACAGCGAUGCAGCAUAACACGGAAAAAGGGUUUUAGAAGUACUUUUAAAACCCCCUCAGCAAAGAAACAAUGAUAAAUAUAAACAAAACAAAAACCCACUGACGCACUGAUCAUGGGAUUGUGCACCAGUGAGUCCAGCCUCGUCCCUCAUGCUUCAUGGUCAUCGGUUGACACGCGGACUAUGGAACCAUUUACAUAACAAAGCACCAGAAACAACGGAUACACACAAAAGCGUUGGGGAACUCUUUACAACAUCUUCCCCCUCCGUAAGGGAGGGGCACACAAGCACCCGUGUUACAUCAUCAUGGCGAAAGGACAACGCACCAAGAAUGAUAACAAAUACAGCACAAGUUAUGUGUUUCCUGUUUGCUAUGAGUGGGAGGAGCUUGCAGGCCUCUGAACCGUAAAUCACACAUCGAAUCUCUCAGAUACUUCACUGAUCACAUUGCCGGUCAGUUAGACAGUUGAAACAAACAACCCAAUCGAUAUCGAAUCAGAGAUUUGUAGGCAAGAGCAAGAAAAUCACCUACCUGAUUGAAUGGCGGCAGACAUGGUGAGAAAAGCAGCAGCUCGCAGAAACACAUUGAGAUUUUACAAAUUGUUGAAUUCAAUAUUUCAGUGUGAUGAACAUCAGCUGCAACUGUAACAAGCACCGCUGCAGCUUGAAACUGAAAAAGACUGUGCAGAUAAACAGAACCGUUAAAUAUAAUCACAACCCACGUUUCUGUAAUCUGAACCUGGAUUUUUCACUUGAUGCUUGAAACUAAAUCUCAUUUUACUUUGGCUCUUUGGGCUAAACUCGCACUUGGCAUCACAUUAUCCAUCAAACACUUGUUGGGGAGAUAUUUAAGGUCUUUAAGAAUAUGUCAGCAGAGGGAUUCUCAAUCAGAGCUGGAAAAAAAAGGCAACUUGAGUCAAACGAGGGAGGGCAGAAAGUAAAAGGCAGGAAGGAGAAAAAGACAGCAGAAAGUCAGCAACAUUCACACUCAAAGCAAACAUCAAACAUCAUCAAACACUCUGAAUGAGACACUUUGAUCUGCCUGGCUCCACAGGAAGCCAGCAUCUUUAGAAAAUCCUCCAAAUGUAAAUUAAUUUACUACAGAAAGAAAUCCCGAGGCACUUGUGCGUGCAACCCAACGCCAGACAUCAGAGGGUUAAAACCCAAACUCUGCAACUCAGCCCACAGAGACGGUUCAGCCCUGCUGACGGGAUGUUAAACCAAGCCCCCCCCCUGCACCCACCCCCCCCAACCAACAUUCAAACUGACACACGUGACAGAAAUUCACAUUCCAGUCCGUCCCCAAACAAGAUGGGGGAAUCUGUGUGAUAACGAUAAUCGUGUGUGAGUCUACAGCCGGCCCUCGUUGUUCCGCUGCCUUUCAGGCCGCACCCGCCUCCUGGUGACCUGAUAUGGGACAAAGGAAUUUUCAUAACCGUAAACGACGAGACGUACGCAUUGAGCGUGGAAGAGAAAGGACCAGUUGGGCCGAGGGGCUUGCAUGCUGUUAUUGUUAUUGAUAUGAUUAUGGGGGGGGUGGUAACCAGUAACCAGUGGUACGUAUAUUCAUCCACACAGACAUUCCUUACCUUACCUCCCUCCCCUCCCUUGUUAUUGACGACACAUUACGUUUAACAUGGGAUUUUCUCACCCUUUUACUCGCCUGCAGCGGAUCCCAAUGGGUUUAAAACAGCACCAUGUUGAGCAAUGUUGGACUCUUAACGUCCCGUGAAGUCUUAUUCACGUUUAUGUCAAAAUGGGAUUCUCGAAAAUUCAGGGUUGUCUAACCCAUUUUUAAAUGUUUCUUAUAUGAUUAUUAUUAUUUAUUUUUUUACUUGAGACAUUAAAAAAAUGUACUUAAUAUGACAAAUGUAAACAAAAUGGCCUACGGUAUCAUUACACUCGUGUAUAUCGUUAUGAUGUAAGUGCAUCACACCAAUAAUUGAAUUAAUAAUGUAAAAAAAAUAUCUAAUAUGAUAGAAUUGCAGAAA